GAUGAACGCUGGCGGCGUGCCUAAUACAUGCAAGUCGAGCGGUAAGGCUUUCACAGAUUAUUUAACCAGAUAAGUUCUUCGGAAAACUGUCUGCAGCGUUGUUCUCCCGGCUAGGAGAAUAAGGUUGAAUAAUGCGUGAAAGUACACGAGCGGCGGACGGCUGAGUAACACGUAGGAACGUACCCCAAAGUGAGGGAUAAGCACCGGAAACGGUGUCUAAUACCGCAUGUGAUCUUCGGAUUAAAGCUUCGGCGCUUUGGGAACGGCCUGCGCAUGAUUAGC
This 282-nucleotide ribosomal RNA is filed under the name uncultured bacterium. RNAcentral describes it as "partial 16S ribosomal RNA". It matches the Rfam family "Bacterial small subunit ribosomal RNA", at positions 28 to 245 of the family's 1533-position model. The record is from RNAcentral.